GAUGGCAGAUGAUCGCUGGUGACUCUGAAAACUUUCGGGGUUGCUGGAGGAAAGUCCGAACACCAUACGGCAGCAUGCCGCGUACAACACGCGGGCAACAUUUGCGAAAGCGGAUGUUGACGGAAAGUGUCACAGAAAACACACCGCCGGUUCUUUGAGAAAAGCGCAGGCAAGGGUGAAAAGGCGAGGUAAGAGCUCACCGCUCGCGGAGUAAUUCGCGAGGCACGAAAAACCCCAUGCGGUGCAAGACAAAACAGAGGAAGGGCAGCCGGCCCGAUAAAAUCCUCGGGUAUCGUCGCACUACGUCCCGCGAUUGCGGGAUGGGCGCUCGUCCCGCACUGCGGGACGGGUGAGAUGAAUGAUCAUCCGUCCCGCGUCUGCGGGACCGACAGAAUUCGGCUUAUCGCCAUCCAAA
RNAcentral lists this RNase P RNA (415 nucleotides) under Verrucomicrobiota bacterium. Its description in RNAcentral is "Verrucomicrobia bacterium RNase P RNA component class A". It matches the Rfam family "Bacterial RNase P class A". Rfam says of the family: Ribonuclease P (RNase P) is a ubiquitous endoribonuclease, found in archaea, bacteria and eukarya as well as chloroplasts and mitochondria. Lineage: Bacteria; Pseudomonadati; Verrucomicrobiota. The record is from RNAcentral.